UGAGGAACAUGACCUUCGGCGGGGGAUAGCCGGCCCAACGGCCGGGUAAUACCGCGUACGACCACAUGGGGACAUCCCUGAGUGGUGAAAGCAGCAAUGCGCCGAUGGAGUGCCUCGCGGCCUAUCAGCUAGUUGGUGAGGUAACGGCUCACCAAGGCGACGACGGGUAGCUGGUCUGAGAGGAUGGGCCAGCCACAUUGGGACUGAGACACGGCCCAGACCUNUACGGGGAGG
Molecule: ribosomal RNA, 234 nt
Filed under: uncultured bacterium
Lineage: Bacteria
Description: partial 16S ribosomal RNA
Rfam family: Bacterial small subunit ribosomal RNA
Source: RNAcentral